UGAUUUUCCUGCAUACGGGAUGUUGUCUGGGUGGAUGACUGCUGGAAAGUUAGCCUGUCCUUACUGCAUGGAGAAUACUAAAUCGUUCACUUUAAAGCAUGGCAAAAAAAAUUCAUGGUUUGAUUGUCACCGUCAAUUCUUGCCAAUGGAUCAUGAGUUUAGGAGUAUGAAAAAUGCAUUUAGGAAGAACAAAAUUGAACGAAACUAUCCACCUCCAAGACUUUCAGGAGAGGAAAUUUGGGAGAGGGUUGAGAACUUUCCGAAAGUUACUGAAGAACCACCGUACAAGUUCGAUGGGUAUGGGCUUGCACAUAACUGGACCAAACAAAGCAUAUUUUGGGAGUUACCAUAUUGGAAGGAUAAUCUUCUCCGGCAUAAUCUUGAUGUCAUGCACAUUGAAAAAAAUUACUUUGAUAAUUUAUUCAACACAGUAAUGGAUGUCAAGGGCAAGACAAAAGAUAAUCCAAAGGCUAGAUUGGACUUACAGGAAUAUUGUAUGCGUAAAGAGUUAUGGUUGCAGGACAAACGGAACGGGGUCUUCAAGCCUAAGGCUAGUUAUUCAUUCACAAUGGAUCAUAAGCGAAAGAUUUGUGAAUGGGUUAAGAACUUGAAGAUGCCUGAUGGGUAUGCAUCAAAUUUGGAAAAACGUGUUGAUAUGGCGCAAGGAAAGUUACAUGGGAUGAAAAGCCAUGAUUGUCAUGUUUUCAUGGAAACUUUACUCCCCAUUGCAUUUAGUAGCUUGCCCACCCGAAUCUGGAAGCCUAUGACUGAAAUUAGUUUGUUCUUCAAAGACUUGUGUUCCAGCACAUUGAGGGUAGACAACCUGGAUCGGAUGCAUCAGAAUAUUCCUGUAAUAACAAGUAAGUUGGAGAAAAUUCUUCCACCGGGAUUCUUCGAUGUGAUGGAACAUCUUCCAAUUCACCUUGCGGAGGAAGCUCGACUCGGAGGCCCAGUUCAUUGUCGUUGGAUGUAUCCCUUCGAGAGAACUAUUGGCAAGUCUAAACGGGGUAUCAAGCAGAAACAUAGAGUUGAAGGAUCAAUUUGCGAAGCCUAUCUUGCUAAGGAAACGGCUCAUUUCUGUUCUUACUACUUUGGGGAUGAUGUGGCAUGCUUGCGAAACAGACCCAAUCGGCAUUAUGAAGGAGAUACCUCAACGAAGACAUUCUUUGAGCCAUUUCGACAUUUUAGAGAUCUGAGAGGGGUAAUGCACUUGACAAUCUUGACGGUGUAGUGAUGGCAGGUGAAAAGGGGGGUAAGAAAACAAAGAAGGCUAAGGAGACGGGGGUUCCCCGGAGACCAUCACAAAACCUUGUGAUUAGAGAUAGAAGCUCGUCGCCACAUCUCCCACCACGCGGUGCUCCAUUGCCUUAUGAUCCCCUUAUGAACGGCAUUGCAUAUAGUCUUCCACCUCCACAUAGCUUUGGUCGGCCCUAUAUGGCUCCACGCCAGGGCUUUACUGAGGCGCCUCCCCAGAGCCCCUCGAUGAUGUCCACACCAGGUUAUCCUACCCCACAGGGCUUCACUCGGUAUACUCUCGGAUCUCAGCGAGCUACGUCUAGUGGUACUCCGACGGCCACUCCUAGCCCGACUGCAACACAUCAUUCUUCAUCAUCUACUGAACUGUACGAGAUUACGGGUCCUGACCUUCGAGAAAGUAGUUCUCCGCCUCACACUCCUACCGCAAGUGAAUUACCUGGAGGUGUACGUGCUCCACAACUGGAAUCUUAUGACUCAUCAGGGCGACUCAUCAUCGAGCCUGCGGGAUACGGGUACGAAUAGCAAAACUAUUUAAAGACUCACCUACUUGGGGCCAGAUGUCACCAAAUCGCCAGAGACAGAUCUAUUAUGCGUUUAAGGAAAAAUGUGUCUGGCUCCCGGAACAUGAGAAGCAGCUAACUCAAAACUUCAAGAAGAAAGCUCAGCGCUUACUAUGUGACAUGUUAGGAAGGGUUCGUGAAUCUAACAAGAAGCCUACGUGGAUCCUUCCUGAAAACUAUGCCAAGCUACUGCAUUACUGGGCAACUAAUGAAAGAUUCUUACAAUUGAGUGACAUAGGGAAGAAGGCUAGAAAUUCGACGAAGGGUGGCUCCCUACACACUAGUGGGGCUAUGAGCCAAGAGGCCGUGAGGAGGAAGCUGGCAAGUCUACCUUAAGUGUACUUGAAGGAUUGUGAAUUUACUUUAUUGUCUUUAUGUCUAAUCAAUUUAUU
This is an RNA transcript of Lycium ferocissimum, 2209 nucleotides long. RefSeq lists it as uncharacterized. Lineage: Eukaryota; Viridiplantae; Streptophyta; Magnoliopsida; Solanales; Solanaceae. The record is from RefSeq and is a predicted model, not a curated record. The transcript has 6 exons.